RNAcentral lists this long non-coding RNA (1347 nucleotides) under Fukomys damarensis (Damara mole-rat). RNAcentral describes it as "lncRNA (ENSFDAG00000022991.1)". The record is from RNAcentral. Lineage: Eukaryota; Metazoa; Chordata; Mammalia; Rodentia; Bathyergidae.
AUGGUCCACCUUCAUCAGGGACGAUCUCAACUCAAGAUCUUUAUGUCUGCAAGGAUCCAUUUCCCGAGUACCACACAGCUUCUGAUGGACCCAUCUUUGCGGAAGCAGAAGCACCCUUCAACCUAUGCCUGCCUCUGCUUUAAAACCGGAUGUAGGGCGCGGCUCCCAUGGAAGGUCUAUUCCACCGGGCGAGAGACAAAGCAACGGACCGUGAUGUACUUCCAGGAGCUGGAGGGCACGAGAACUGCAGUGGCUGGAACUUGGGCCUUCAACGCCGCCAUCCUGAGUGCCUGCCGUGAACCAGGUGCUUUAUCUUCCAUCCAGGAUGUACAGUGGGCCUUGUCCUGCGUGCCAUGAUUUCCUGAGUCCCCAACACUAAAGACAAAGCUUCCGUCACACUUUCUAAAAGGAGAGGCAGACACGUCUCCCAGAAGUGGCCACCCGUGACCCAGCUCACCAGCCCCUUGAUGCCUUCACCAGAGAAGCAGAGACAUCUGGGAGGCUGGUCAGAAGGCCAGCCUUUAAAGCAAAUGCAAAGAGAGCUGUGGAGCAUGUCACCCAGCUUGCAUCCUGCUCUGUGGGGAAGAGAAGAGGGCUAUUUGCUCACCUACAUUUGGGGCAGGAACAGAAACCCUGAGAGAGGGGAGUGGUGGUGUCCACAGGCCAGGCAGGCAUCUCAUUUGCCCGGAGUGUCGCCUGAGCUGCUGGGUGCGGGUCUAGGGCCACCUUGAGAUGGGAGCGGAGGGAGCAGUGUGGUUACCACACUGUGUGGGGCUCAGCCUUCUGAAACUGGGCCUCCCCAGAACUGUCCAAGUUCCAUAGCGAGCAGUCAUGGGGGAAAUAAAGGGGCCUCCACACAGCCAGAGGCUGGUUGGAUCAAGGAAGUGUGUGUUUCUUGGGGGCCAAGGAAAUCCCAAGGAAGGAGCUGGACCAGGGCCAUCAACAAGGGCCCUGUGCCAGCAGUGCCUGGUGACAAAAGCAGGAAAGUGAGUAGUGAGGUAUCUGAAGGACCCACAAAAGCACCUCACGAUGAGAGAGAGAGAGAGAGAGAGAGAGAGAGAGAGAGAGAGAGAGAGAGGAGAGGACAAAGACAGUUGUUAUCGGGUGAAUUGUGUCCCCUGAAAAGCUAACACCUCGGCACCUGGGAAUGUGACUGGAUGGGGCUGUGGCCGAUGUCGUUAGUUAGUGAGGUCACACUGGGGCAGAGUGGGCCCUUCAUCCAAUUGAACUGGCGUGCUUGUGAAAAGAGGACAUUCGGGCAUAGACACAGAGAGGGGAGAGUGCCUCGUGACUGCCUAAGAAAGCUGGCAUUUACUGGAACCUGGAAGAGGCAAGAGAGGAAUCGGG